AACGUAGGUGGCAAGCGUUAUCCGGAUUUACUGGGCGUAAAGCGUGUGCAGGCGGGGGUACAAGUGGUGUAUGAAAUUUCCCAGCUUAACUGGGAAGGGUUAUGCCAGACUGUACUUCUGGAGUGCGAGAGAGGGGCGUGGAAUUCCUGGUGUAGCGGUGAAAUGCGCAGAUAUCAGGAAGAACACCCGUGGCGAAGGCGGCUCUCUGGGACGGUACUGACGCUGAGGCGCGAAAGCGUGGGGAGCAAACAGG
This 253-nucleotide ribosomal RNA is filed under the name uncultured bacterium. Its description in RNAcentral is "partial 16S ribosomal RNA". It matches the Rfam family "Bacterial small subunit ribosomal RNA", at positions 524 to 776 of the family's 1533-position model. The record is from RNAcentral.